AAUCCAUAGGUUAAUGAGGCGAACCGGGGGAACUGAAACAUCUAAGUACCCCGAGGAAAAGAAAUCAACCGAGAUUCCCCCAGUAGCGGCGAGCGAACGGGGAGGAGCCCAGAGCCUGAAUCAGCAUGUGUGUUAGUGGAAGCGUCUGGAAAGGCGCGCGAUACAGGGUGACAGCCCCGUACACAAAAGCGCAUGUGCUGUGAGCUCGAUGAGUAGGGCGGGACACGUGGUAUCCUGUCUGAAUAUGGGGGGACCAUCCUCCAAGGCUAAAUACUCCUGACUGACCGAUAGUGAACCAGUACCGUGAGGGAAAGGCGAAAAGAACCCCGGCGAGGGGAGUGAAAAAGAACCUGAAACCGUGUACGUACAAGCAGUGGGAGCACCCUUUGGGUGUGACUGCGUACCUUUUGUAUAAUGGGUCAGCGACUUAUAUUCUGUAGCAAGGUUAACCGAAUAGGGGAGCCGGAGGGAAACCGAGUCUUAAUUGGGCGUUAAGUUGCAGGGUAUAGACCCGAAACCCGGU
RNAcentral lists this ribosomal RNA (523 nucleotides) under Salmonella enterica subsp. enterica serovar Enteritidis. Its description in RNAcentral is "partial 23S ribosomal RNA". It matches the Rfam family "Bacterial large subunit ribosomal RNA", at positions 161 to 726 of the family's 2925-position model. Lineage: Bacteria; Pseudomonadati; Pseudomonadota; Gammaproteobacteria; Enterobacterales; Enterobacteriaceae. The record is from RNAcentral.